This 700-nucleotide ribosomal RNA is filed under the name uncultured Gammaproteobacteria bacterium. Its description in RNAcentral is "bacterial SSU rRNA". It matches the Rfam family "Bacterial small subunit ribosomal RNA", at positions 62 to 751 of the family's 1533-position model. The record is from RNAcentral. Lineage: Bacteria; Pseudomonadati; Pseudomonadota; Gammaproteobacteria.
UCGAACGGCAGCACAGGAGAGCUUGCUCUCUGGGUGGCGAGUGGCGGACGGGUGAGGAAUAUAUCGGAAUCUACCCUUUCGUGGGGGAUAACGUAGGGAAACUUACGCUAAUACCGCAUACGAACUGAGGUUGAAAGCGGCGGACCGCAAGGCGUCGCGCGGAUGGAUGAGCCGAUAUCCGAUUAGCUAGUUGGCGGGGUAAAAGCCCACCAAGGCGACGAUCGGUUGCUGGUCUGAGAGGAUGAUCAGCCACACUGGAACUGAGACACGGUCCAGACUCCUACGGGAGGCAGCAGUGGGGAAUAUUGGACAAUGGGCGCAAGCCUGAUCCAGCCAUGCCGCGUGUGUGAAGAAGGCCUUCGGGUUGUAAAGCACUUUUGUUGGGAAAGAAAAGCGGUCGGUUAAUAGGCGGUGGUUCUGACGGUACCCAAAGAAUAAGCACCGGCUAACUUCGUGCCAGCAGCCGCGGUAAUACGAAGGGUGCAAGCGUUACUCGGAAUUACUGGGCGUAAAGCGUGCGUAGGUGGUUUGUUAAGUCAGAUGUGAAAGCCCCGGGCUCAACCUGGGAAUUGCAUUUGAUACUGGCAGACUAGAGUGCGGUAGAGGAGAGUGGAAUUCCCGGUGUAGCAGUGAAAUGCGUAGAGAUCGGGAGGAACAUCAGUUGCGAAGGCGGCUCUCUGGACCAGCACUGACACUGAGG